CUGGGCGGACUCACUCGGUUGUUCGCGGAGGACAGUGAAAUGGGAAGAAAACGGGCAAUUGCAUUAGCGUCCUUGCUGCAAUUGUUCCUUACCGAUCUCCUAGCCACCCUGGAUUAUCAGUUUGCAGGAAUCCCCCAACGAGACGGAGCGCUCAAGUUCACCCUGCCGCAUUCUAUCCACGCCGCGGUUGGCCAUCCCUCCUGUGAUGCACAGUGGGAUGUGGACAACGCGACAGUGGCUAUUAUAACCAAAGACGAAAUAACCUUUGACCCUUCUGUGAAAGAAGUGACCCAUACUUCAAUGACGAUUGACAAGUGUUCCAGCAUUGUCAGAUAUUUCGUAGACUGCCUGGAAAUUCAGGUAAACAUCUUGAUUUAAUUAUACAUAUUGUAAAAUAUAGGACCACGACAAUCUUAAAUGGCUUACAACUGAUGCUUAAAAUUGGCAUCAGUUGUAUCUUAAGAAAAUAAAGACAUUGUUUCUCAGUUUUUAGUUCUAUUCAGCACACAAAAUAUCACUCCGGUUAUCUUGGCAUAAGCCAUAAGGCCUUUCAAUACCAACUCUGCUACUGUCAUUGACCCAUUGCAUAAUUAUGUUGUUAAUAUAAUAUCCCACAUAACAGGGAUAUUAUAUUACUAUAAAAAGAUUAAAUGCUUAAGAAAGCAGUAUGCUACAUGAUAUGGUAGACAUUAAAUUAGGUAGAUACUGACACCUCAUCAUUACUGAUACCUCAUCUUUAGCAUGUUUUUGCAGAACUAUUAGUCUGAGAGUACAGGAAUGUCAGUGAAAUCUUUAAAUCUGAUUUAGAUGUUUUCAAAAUGUCUCAGUUGCU
Long non-coding RNA from Alosa alosa (allis shad), 832 nucleotides. RefSeq lists it as uncharacterized. NCBI's taxonomy places the organism in Eukaryota, Metazoa, Chordata, Actinopteri, Clupeiformes, Clupeidae. The transcript is spliced from 3 exons. The record is from RefSeq and is a predicted model, not a curated record.